Molecule: long non-coding RNA, 299 nt
Filed under: Pelobates cultripes (western spadefoot toad)
Lineage: Eukaryota; Metazoa; Chordata; Amphibia; Anura; Pelobatidae
Source: RNAcentral
GUAGAAAGAGGGAAGUGCUCAAACCAUUGUACAGAACACUGGUGAGACCUCACUUGGAGUAUUGUACGCGGUACUGGAGACCGUAUCUUCAGAAGGAUAUUGAUACUUUAGAGAGAGUUCAGAGAAGGGCUACUAAACUGGUUCAUGGAUUCCAGGAUGAAACUUACCAGGAAAGGUUAAAGGAUCUUAACGUGUAUAGAUUGGAGGAAAGAUGAGACGGGGGAUAUGAUAGAAACAUUUAAAUACAUAAAGGGAAUCAACACAGUAAAGGAGGAAACUAUAUUUAAAAGAAGAAAAAC